Molecule: ribosomal RNA, 301 nt
Filed under: uncultured bacterium
Lineage: Bacteria
Description: partial 16S ribosomal RNA
Rfam family: Bacterial small subunit ribosomal RNA
Source: RNAcentral
CAGCAGCCGCGGGAACACGAAGGGGGCUAGCGUUGCUCGGAAUGGCUGGGCGUAAAGGGCGCGUAGGCGGCAUGUACAGUCAGAAGUGAAAUUCCUGGGCUCAACCUGGGGACUGCUUUUGAUACGUGCAGGCUAGAGUGAGGAAGAGGGUUGUGGAAUUUCCAGUGUAGAGGUGAAAUUCGUAGAUAUUGGAAAGAACACCGGUGGCGAAGGCGGCAACCUGGUCCUUUACUGACGCUGAGGCGCGAAAGCGUGGGGAGCAAACAGGAUUAGAUACCCCUGUAGUCCCUGUCUCUUAUAA